UGCAAGUCGUACGCGUUGGCCCAACUGAUUUGAAGUGCUUGCACGGAUCUGACGUCGGUUUACCAACGAGUGGCGGACGGGUGAGUAACACGUAGGUAACCUGCCCAGAAGCGGGGGACAACACUUGGAAACAGGUGCUAAUACCGCAUAACAAUUCAAAUCGCAUGAUUUGAAUUUGAAAGAUGGUUUCGGCUAUCACUUCUGGAUGGACCUGCGGCGCAUUAGCUUGUUGGUGGGGUAACGGCCUACCAAGGCAGUGAUGCGUAGCCGAGUUGAGAGACUGAUCGGCCACAAUGGGACUGAGACACGGCCCAUACUCCUACGGGAGGCAGCAGUAGGGAAUCUUCCACAAUGGGCGCAAGCCUGAUGGAGCAACACCGCGUGAGUGAAGAAGGUUUUCGGAUCGUAAAGCUCUGUUGUUGAAGAAGAACGUGCAUGAGAGUAACUGUUCAUGCAGUGACGGUAUUCAACCAGAAAGUCACGGCUAACUACGUGCCAGCAGCCGCGGUAAUACGUAGGUGGCAAGCGUUAUCCGGAUUUAUUGGGCGUAAAGAGAGUGCAGGCGGUUUCUUAAGUCUGAUGUGAAAGCCUUCGGCUCAACCGAAGAAGUGCAUCGGAAACUGGGAAACUUGAGUACAGAAGAGGGCAGUGGAACUCCAUGUGUAGCGGUGGAAUGCGUAGAUAUAUGGAAGAACACCAGUGGCGAAGGCGGCUGCCUGGUCUGUAACUGACGCUGAGACUCGAAAGCAUGGGUAGCGAACAGGAUUAGAUACCCUGGUAGUCCAUGCCGUAAACGAUGAGUGCUAGGUGUUGGUGGGUUUCCGCCCUUCAGUGCCGGAGCUAACGCAUUAAGCACUCCGCCUGGGGAGUACGACCGCAAGGUUGAAACUCAAAGGAAUUGACGGGGGCCCGCACAAGCGGUGGAGCAUGUGGUUUAAUUCGAAGCUACGCGAAGAACCUUACCAGGUCUUGACAUCUUGCGCCAACCCUAGAGAUAGGGCGUUUCCUUCGGGAACGCAAUGACAGGUGGUGCAUGGUCGUCGUCAGCUCGUGUCGUGAGAUGUUGGGUUAAGUCCCGCGACGAGCGCAACCCUUGUUACUAGUUGCCAGCAUUAAGUUGGGCACUCUAGUGAGACUGCCGGUGACAAACCGGAGGAAGGUGGGGACGACGUCAGAUCAUCAUGCCCCUUAUGACCUGGGCUACACACGUGCUACAAUGGACGGUACAACGAGCAGCGAACUCGCGAGGGCAAGCAAAUCUCUUAAAACCGUUCUCAGUUCGGAUUGCAGGCUGCAACUCGCCUGCAUGAAGUCGGAAUCGCUAGUAAUCGCGAAUCAGCAUGUCGCGGUGAAUACGUUCCCGGGCCUUGUACACACCGCCCGUCACACCAUGAGAGUUUGUAACACCCAAAGCCGGUGGGGUAACCUUUGGAGCC
This 1436-nucleotide ribosomal RNA is filed under the name uncultured methanogenic archaeon. RNAcentral describes it as "bacterial SSU rRNA". It matches the Rfam family "Bacterial small subunit ribosomal RNA". Lineage: Archaea; Methanobacteriati; Methanobacteriota. The record is from RNAcentral.